CCAAGCCCUACUCAAGGGCCAGUUUUAUUUGCAACCGCGGGAAACAAAGCCCCCAUGACGCCGUCUUUUCAGGCCUUCAGGAAUGGCCGAAAUUCCGAAAUUUGUGGAGGACUCUACCUGGCCCUCGUCGUCUCAGUGGCCGGUCAAGGGCAAUCAAAGGGUGUUUUCGGCUCCGUAGGGAUACCUUCUACCCCAAUAUGAUAUUAGUUUGAGGAUGAGCUGCGUGAAGCGAAGUUACAGGGCUGAUGUUUGUUGGACGUCGUCAUUUCCAUUUGCAUUCAUCAAUCAUUGGGCUCGAAAGAACUGGCUGAUGUCAUGGAGAACGUGUGCAGCAUACCUUUCUGAACCCCGACAGACAUGUGUCGGUCAACCAUUGACAUUAUAGCAAUGUAUGCAUGGCAGCAAUGUUUAUCAGCUCAGCCGAAUGUCUAUAUGUUUCCACCACGUCGAUCAGGAAGGGUGUCUGGUUCUUGCCUCUGCCGCAGAAGAUUCCAUCGCUGCUCCAGGAUUGAGUUGUAGAGGAACUGCCGCAUGUCCGACCCAUCUCGGUGAAGCACGAUGCCGUGAUUGAUCAGUGAUGGUGAUGAUGGCCUGUACCUGGUGGUCUGUGCUGGCUGGUGCACGCUACCCUAUCCACAAGUUGCCUGUCAGGAUGUGCAGCUAGGCAUUGUAACAUGUGCUGCAAUACCAACCUUCUGGUGUCACCUCUAUCUGGAAGUUGACUUGCAGAUACUACUGUAUCGGAGAACAAGUUUGGCGAGUCCCGCCGUGGCUGUUUUGUGAUCGCUGUUGACGCAUUCCACAUGCUAGUCUAUCAUGUAGCUACUAAGAAUUAGCAUGGCGCUUUGGCAUUUGGGAUACGUGGCAGUGCAUGUCACCCUCACAGUCGUCAGCACUGCACAGUGGCUUCGCCGGUUGGCCGGCUACUCUUCGCUGCCGGCCAUUUCGCUAUACCGUUAUCAGGCUUUAUGCGAGGCCAGCUUAUACAUACAUUAUGCUGUUGACGGCUUUCUGGCUUCGCAGUCUUGUACAGUUUGUGGAUGUGUAAACUGGUAUGGCUCUUCACAUAUUGCGCGUUCCGGGCCACAUUGCUGACAUUGCCGCAUGUGUUCGUCCCAUUUCUAUUAUCCAAGUAAGUGUUUAUUUUCAUUCCUUGUUAUGGUGGUAUCAUGGUGGUAUAGUUUCCAGCCUCCACCCACUGUUUCUGAUUUCGGCUGUGUUGCAGUAGCUCGCCAGUAUGAUAAUCAUUAUGACUAUAUGACGCGAAUUUCUAAUAAAAUAUGACUGCUGAAAACCUGGCGAGAACAGACUAACUCGAUAACUGGCACUAAAAAGAAUCCUCUCACCGAUACAUCUAAGCAAUAUCUGUGCACACAUGCAAAAAGAAUUGCAAUCGGUUAGUGCCAAACAAUGCGGCACGAAAUCUGCGG
Molecule: long non-coding RNA, 1430 nt
Organism: Sycon ciliatum
Lineage: Eukaryota; Metazoa; Porifera; Calcarea; Leucosolenida; Sycettidae
Exons: 3
Source: RefSeq, a predicted model, not a curated record